This is a long non-coding RNA of Varroa destructor (honeybee mite), 1014 nucleotides long. The record is from RefSeq and is a predicted model, not a curated record. Lineage: Eukaryota; Metazoa; Arthropoda; Arachnida; Mesostigmata; Varroidae.
AUCGUAUUGCGAAAACGCUUAAACUUUUAAUAAGACUAAGUGGUAUGCGGUUACGUGACUUCAGAUCGUCGUGCUUUGUCCUAUGCUUUUUAAAGCCUAAUAUUAAAACAACUACUUGGCUUUUGAGUGGAUAGACGUUCGCUGGAACUCCGUAACAGAUUAUACUAACAAACGCGAUAACCCUUUUCCCGGGUGACAACCUGAAAGGAAUACACAGGUUGCCUUCCGCACAACUCGAAGCAGUCAUUUCUUGGACCUGGACGCCCUACUUUACCGCCUGCCUGUAGCUCAGUGUAAUGAGCCUCAAACAACGCCCGGUAUAUUUGGACACUUUUAGGAAAUGGCUACGCCCACUUUGCCAGCUGUCUUACGCAUACUCUCUUUACGUCAGAAGUUUUAUACGUCUACAGGAAGCCGUGGCGUCGGCUAUAAACAUCAAGUGGAAGCAUUUAGUAAAAAUGAAUUACGGUAUUAAGGGUUCGAGAGUUAUGCUUAAGGUAAGGCAGCGUAUCUAAAGUUUGUAUGAAUUAGAAGAAGAAAAUAUCAAGUUCUCCUUGAAGUCGAUUUUAACGAUAGUAGACCAUCGAAGCUAACUGUCGUUACUUAUAUUACAGAGGCAUUGUUUAAUGGAUUACAAAUCGGAGCGGGUAUAAACCUUGUACCUGAAUGGAAAUUUCUCUUUUGCAUUAACCAUUGGAUGAUAAGCGUUUUCAACAACUGCUCCUAGUUGCCACCUAGUUAUUAAGGAAUUAAAGAUGCAGCAACCGGAGUUCAAUAAUGACGGUGUGCCCUUUAAAUCCGUUUUGACUAGAUUUCCAUAAUUUUUCCUCACGCCUCAUUGUUAUCUAUUAUAUGUUGCGCUACAAGGAUCUAUCGUACAAUAGCUAGCUUCAAAAAUAGAUUUCCACCCUAUAUGACCUAAUGGUGUACAUCGCCAUAUACUCAGUGCUAGCGCUGUUACAUAGCUUACAGCUUUUAACUUAGAUUCAGCAAGUGGUGCCUCGAAAGCGGCCA